This 410-nucleotide ribosomal RNA is filed under the name uncultured bacterium. Its description in RNAcentral is "bacterial SSU rRNA". It matches the Rfam family "Bacterial small subunit ribosomal RNA", at positions 359 to 788 of the family's 1533-position model. The record is from RNAcentral.
AGGAUUGAAAUGAAGGAACUCUGAUGCAGCAACGCCGCGUGAGGGAAGAAGGUUUUCGGAUUGUAAACCUCUGUUUUUAGUGAAGAAUAAAUGACGGUAGCUAAAGAGGAAGCCACGGCUAACUACGUGCCAGCAGCCGCGGUAAUACGUAGGUGGCAAGCGUUGUCCGGAUUUACUGGGUGUAAAGGGUGCGCAGGCGGGACUGCAAGUUGGAUGUGAAAAUCCGAGGCUCAACCUCGGAACUGCAUCCAAAACUGUGGUUCUUGAGUGGAGCAGAGGUAAGCGGAAUUCCGAGUGUAGCGGUGAAAUGCGUAGAUAUUCGGAGGAACACCAGUGGCGAAGGCGGCUUACUGGGCUCUAACUGACGCUGAGGCACGAAAGUGUGGGUAGCAAACAGGAUUAGAUACCCU